This 24-nucleotide non-coding RNA is filed under the name Arabidopsis thaliana (thale cress). Lineage: Eukaryota; Viridiplantae; Streptophyta; Magnoliopsida; Brassicales; Brassicaceae. The record is from RNAcentral.
GCAAUGAGUAUGCCUAUAGUCACU